UACAGAGGGCUCAAGCGUUGUUCGGAUUCAUUGGGCGUAAAGGGUGCGUAGGCGGCGCGGUAAGUCGGGUGUGAAAUCUCGGAGCUUAACUCCGAAAUUGCAUUCGAUACUGCCGUGCUCGAGGACUGGAGAGGAGACUGGAAUUCAUGGUGUAGCAGUGAAAUGCGUAGAGAUCAUGAGGAAGACCAGUGGCGAAGGCGGGUCUCUGGACAGUUCCUGACACUGAGGCACGAAGGCCAGGGGAGCAAACGGG
Molecule: ribosomal RNA, 253 nt
Filed under: uncultured bacterium
Lineage: Bacteria
Description: partial 16S ribosomal RNA
Rfam family: Bacterial small subunit ribosomal RNA
Source: RNAcentral